GGCGUUAUACGUAGUUUUAAUGGUGGUUUUAAUGUUGUCGGCGAUAUAAUUAAGUCUUUUGGGAUGUACAUGUAAGCUACGUCUCAAACAUUAAUAUCGCUAUACAACACCUCUUAAUUGUUAGGGCGGCUUUUAUGUAGCAUUGUGGUGGAUGGAAGUGUACAAAGAAGAUGAUUAAUACGUAAACACAACAGAACAAUGAAACUCUGACCUAAAUCAUAGCACUCUAACUGUGUGAGGAAAACAGUAAACUCUAAAUCAAUUGUUGCAAUGCAUACUAUAUAGAACUUCACUUAAAAUUAGAAUAUAAAUAACAGAAUGCCAUGGGAUUUUGGUGGAUGUUAAUGAUGGCGAGGGACAAUAUCGAUAUUAAUCACAUUAGACAAGUAUGGCAAUCCAGCUACAGCAUUAACUAAACCAAUAGGGUUGGUAAGACAAUAAUGACAGAUUUAGUCUCAGCGAUUUUUAAUAACGUUUUCCUGGCAACAUAACAAAGUGGAAACCCUGUGGUCUGUGUUGCUGAAUAACUGAAAACUAAAGGAGACAUAUAUAUCAUAAAUUUUAAAGAGAUUCGCCAUCUUGUGUUAGGAGUAUGUUUGCAAUUUUAUAAGUCAGUGUAACAACGGUGAUUCCUAAAUUUGAUGUUGCAGACGGCACCAGUUAAAGUAAUUAAGAAAUAUAUUCAUAGGCACGUGGGUUAGAUCAAAUAUUAUUCAAUCUGCCGAUUGCAUUACAAAUAAUAAUCGCGAAUAGAAUCGUGUCUGUUUUGAUAAGGGUGAAUGCAGGAACAGUGCUGAUAAAAACACACAGGAAUAGAAGCAACUGUAUGCAGGUACUGUUUAUUUGACGACCGAUAUUUCUUGCUUACACCAAUGUAAAAGGAUUUAGGUAAAAAAGGCCUAACGAAAAAAGAAGAAAAACUCCUGUUACAGUGGAAGAAGUUAAUUUAGUUCGUGUGUUAGGUUAGAUUGACGAAUUAAUAAUUAAAGAGGGCCACCUAGGUGAAUCUUAGUGCUAUUCAGAAGAAACAGAAACGCGUUUGUGUAAAAAUUCCGAAUGUUAACCUGUGUGACACCAACAGAUUGUUGAAGAUAUGUGAUUAAGUAGAAUUUAAGGACCCUCAUUUCGGCUAUUCUUGUUAUAACUCAGCAGCACCGAAUGAUCAAAAUGUCCGAUUUGCUCUUCAAAAUUCAAAGAGAAACAUGGGCGUAUGUAGCGCUACUUGGACUGUUCGCUAUACACAUUGGAAUUAUUUUGGCUGUUUUAGCCUUCGAGGGAGCCCUGGAACAUGAAAUAACUAGUAUUAUGGAAGUGUUCGGUAUUACUCUUACAUUUCUCGGAUUCUUCCUUUUAAUACUUUCUACAUAUUUACGGGGUCAAUUAAAAAGAAAACUUCGGGUGACAAAGCUUAAGAGUAGAACUAGGCGUAAUUUUAGACAAUGUUCCAGUAAUAAGUUAAAUAAUGAUAAAAACAUUUAUGAUGAUGAUGAUGAUUAUUGUCAUCCAACUUAUACGUGUAAUACGAGUAAAUCUAAAGUGUUUCCAUGGUACAGUGAAAGUUCUGGUCCUAUGCCUAUUAUAUCAACUAACAGACAUAUAGAAGAAUGGUUAAGUCAGCAUCGAGUGGAUAAUUUGAACGAAAACCAAACACCAGAGGACAUCAACGCAAGUCGGUUAUCAUCAUUAGUGUAGCAAAACAUCGUACAUUACUACUAACACAUCAUCAUCAUCAUCAUCAUCACCGUCAUCAUUAAAUAAAGUUAUCGCUCAUUACUCGAUAUAAGUAGUAAAUAUGACGCUUCGUUAUCACUAAAGUUUAUGAUCUUUAAAAUCUAGUUUUAUAUCUCAUGAGUGUCAUGUUGUGCAUUUUAUAGAUGGAAACAGCAAAACAUACAGCCCUCAUUUGCAUUUAUAGGCACAAGGGUAAUCAAAAUGAAUAUAGACGAGUUUGACGCUACGUUGUGAGUUGGCGUUGAUUUCAGUUCACAUGUUUUAGUUAAAACACCGACAUUUGGGUGUAGAUUAAAGACGCAUUACGCAAGAGCUCGCUAAAUCUACCUAUAACAGGUCUUUCUUUUUGUCUCAAAUGUUAUAUAAAUUAUAAAUCAGACACGACAAGACAAUAAUCUACUAUCGUGGCCAUCGGAUGCUCGCGGAUUGAAACAAGAUCGUCGUUUAAUAAUUUAAUUAAAAAAUAAAAUGAAAUGGGAUUUAACGUCCUACUGGGCUAAUGAGGACGGGAAUAUAAUAAUGGAUAAUCGAGACUUUGUUUACUAAUGUAAAUGCAUAAUGCAUCUUUAACCGAGUUAGAAGAAUUGCUUAUACAAUAUUGACAGUAGAAAUAGAAAUGACAUAUUAAACCAAAGGAGAAAAAUGGAUAUUAAAUAACUUGUAUUUGUAUAUGAAAUGAGUACUUAUGUAUAUAUUGUUAUAUUAAAUAUGAUAAUUGUU
Molecule: long non-coding RNA, 2451 nt
Organism: Patella vulgata (common limpet)
Lineage: Eukaryota; Metazoa; Mollusca; Gastropoda; Patellidae
Exons: 4
Source: RefSeq, a predicted model, not a curated record